CCGACGGUGAGAGGCGAAAGCUGGGGGAGCAAACCGGAUUAGAUACCCGGGUAGUCCCAGCUGUAAACGAUGCGCGUUAGGUGUAUCAGUGACCACGAGUCACUGAGGUGCCGAAGAGAAAUCGUGAAACGUGCCGCCUGGGAAGUACGGUCGCAAGGCUGAAACUUAAAGGAAUUGGCGGGGGAGCACCACAACAGGUGGAGCCUGCGGUUUAAUCGGACUCAACGCCGGGAAACUCACCAGUUAAGACAGCUGAAUGAUAGUCGGGCUGAAGACUCUACUUGACUAGCUGAGAGGAGGUGCAUGGCCGUCGUCAGUUCGUACUGUGAAGCAUCCUGUUAAGUCAGGCAACGAGCGAGACCCACGCCAACAGUUGCU
Molecule: ribosomal RNA, 378 nt
Filed under: uncultured archaeon
Lineage: Archaea
Description: bacterial SSU rRNA
Rfam family: Archaeal small subunit ribosomal RNA
Source: RNAcentral